CCUGCCCUAAGUUUCAAGUGUGGCUGAUAUAUCACAUGUGUGCCCGUAGGAGGCAGAAAGGAGAGAGUCUAUGUCUAUUCUCAGUGUUCUGACCUAUGAACAUCUGAGUGAUAAAUAGUCUAAUACU
Grammomys surdaster is the source of this 127-nucleotide small nucleolar RNA. RefSeq annotates it as small nucleolar RNA SNORA17. Lineage: Eukaryota; Metazoa; Chordata; Mammalia; Rodentia; Muridae. The transcript has a single exon. The record is from RefSeq and is a predicted model, not a curated record.